GGAGAGGUUGGAUAGGAACGACGCGCAGAUGAGGGCAUUCACCGCCCAGUACCAGCGGAGGAACGAUAUCCGGGAGAGGGAGCUCGAUAUGCAGCUCCUGAACACGGAUACGACGCACAUGACGGACGCACAACGUGCAUUGCACGCGUCCAUGGUCGCCGACGUGCUCAGGCGUCGUGGUCUAUCCUAGGGUUUUAAUUAUGUGAUUUUAAUGAUGUUUUAGGUUUUUUAAAUUUUUAUAUUUUUUUUUUGGUGUUUUUAAAUUUUUAUGUAUUUUUUUUUAUGUUUUAAGUAAUUUUAAAUUUUAUGUUUAAUCCAGUAUUUAAAUAUGCAAUUUAAAUUAUGCAAUAAAAUUUAAAUGAAAAACAUAAAAUCAAAACUAAUAUUAUCAAGUAGGCUAUCAAGGAACCCCAAUGCAGCACUACCUACUCAAUAACACAAACACUAUCAAGUAGGCUAUUAAGGAGGCUAUCAAGGAGGUCC
RNAcentral lists this long non-coding RNA (483 nucleotides) under Salvia miltiorrhiza (redroot sage). RNAcentral's name for it is "long non-coding RNA (SMIL_LNC012640)". The record is from RNAcentral. Lineage: Eukaryota; Viridiplantae; Streptophyta; Magnoliopsida; Lamiales; Lamiaceae.